GCCCUUGUAGCUCAGGCGGAUAGAGCGGUGGCCUCCGGAGCCACAGGCGGGGGUUCGAGUCCCUCCAAGGGCGCCA
RNAcentral lists this transfer RNA (76 nucleotides) under Planctomycetales bacterium. RNAcentral describes it as "tRNA-Arg". It matches the Rfam family "tRNA". From Rfam's summary of the family: Transfer RNA (tRNA) molecules are approximately 80 nucleotides in length. Their secondary structure includes four short double-helical elements and three loops (D, anti-codon, and T loops). Further hydrogen bonds mediate the characteristic L-shaped molecular structure. tRNAs have two regions of fundamental functional importance: the anti-codon, which is responsible for specific mRNA codon recognition, and the 3' end, to which the tRNAs corresponding amino acid is attached (by aminoacyl-tRNA synthetases). tRNAs cope with the degeneracy of the genetic code in two manners: having more than one tRNA (with a specific anti-codon) for a particular amino acid; and 'wobble' base-pairing, i.e. permitting non-standard base-pairing at the 3rd anti-codon position. The record is from RNAcentral. Lineage: Bacteria; Pseudomonadati; Planctomycetota; Planctomycetia; Planctomycetales.